This 468-nucleotide ribosomal RNA is filed under the name uncultured bacterium. RNAcentral's name for it is "SSU rRNA". It matches the Rfam family "Bacterial small subunit ribosomal RNA", at positions 26 to 518 of the family's 1533-position model. The record is from RNAcentral.
AGGACUAACGCUGGCGGCGUGCCUAACACAUGCAAGUCGAACGAGAGUAGCAAUACUCUAGUGGCAGACGGGUGAGUAACACGUGGUCAACCUACCUCUAUGUGGGGGAUAACUAGCCGAAAGGUUAGCUAAUACCGCAUACGAUCGUCGAGCGGCAUCGCUUGACGAUGAAAGGAGCAAUCCGCAGAGAGACGGGACCGCGUCCCAUUAGCUAGUUGGUGGGGUAAUGGCCUACCAAGGCGACGAUGGGUAGCUGGCUUGAGAGAGCGACCAGCCACACUGGGACUGAGACACGGCCCAGACUCCUACGGGAGGCAGCAGUGAGGAAUUUUCCGCAAUGGGCGAAAGCCUGACGGAGCGACGCCGCGUGUGGGAAGAAGGCCUUCGGGUCGUAACCACUGUCGAAGGGGAAGAGUAUUGACGGUACCCUUGGAGGAAGCCCCGGCGUAACUACGUGCCAGCAGCCGC